This 348-nucleotide RNase P RNA is filed under the name bovine gut metagenome. RNAcentral's name for it is "Bacterial RNase P class A". It matches the Rfam family "Bacterial RNase P class A". From Rfam's summary of the family: Ribonuclease P (RNase P) is a ubiquitous endoribonuclease, found in archaea, bacteria and eukarya as well as chloroplasts and mitochondria. Its best characterised activity is the generation of mature 5'-ends of tRNAs by cleaving the 5'-leader elements of precursor-tRNAs. Cellular RNase Ps are ribonucleoproteins. The record is from RNAcentral.
CGCCGGACGGUCGCGCGGGAUCAUGCCGCAAGGUAUUUCCGUGAGGAAAGUCCGGGCUUCACAGGACAGGAUAGCUGAUAACGUCAGCCACGGGUAACCGUCGGGAAAGUGCAACAGAAAGAAACCGCCGCGCAAGCGGUAAGGAUGGAAAGGCGAGGUAAGAGCUCACCAGUUCCCAUGGUAACAUGGGUCCGCUGUAAACCCUAUCCGAAGCAACACCCCAGGGACUGCUCGUCCGGCAUAUGGUCGGGGUGGCACGAGUUCGAUUUUCGGCUCGGAGCGUUUCCGGCGACGGGACGCAAAGAUUGAUGACCGUCUUCAACGACAGAACCCGGCUUACAGGCGAAG